Molecule: ribosomal RNA, 679 nt
Filed under: Inocybe pusillima
Lineage: Eukaryota; Fungi; Basidiomycota; Agaricomycetes; Agaricales; Inocybaceae
Description: eukaryotic LSU rRNA
Rfam family: Eukaryotic large subunit ribosomal RNA
Source: RNAcentral
UUAAGCAUAUCAAUAAGCGGAGGAAAAGAAACUAACAAGGAUUCCCUCAGUAACUGCGAGUGAAGAGGGAAAAGCUCAAAUUUGAAAUCUGGCAGCUGUUUCAGGUUGUCCGAGUUGUAAUCUAGAGAAGUGUUACCUGUGUUGGACCRUGUAAAAGUCUUCUGGAAUGGAGCAUCAUAGAGGGUGAGAAUCCCGUCUUUGACAUGGACUACCAGCAUGCCAAGGUGYACUCUCAAAGAGUCGAGUUGUUUGGGAAUGCAGCUCAAAAUGGGUGGUAAAUGCCAUCUAAAGCUAAAUAUUGGCGAGAGACCGAUAGCGAACAAGUACCGUGAGGGAAAGAUGAAAAGAACUUUGGAAAGAGAGUUAAACAGUACGUGAAAUUGCUGAAAGGGAAACGCUUGAAGUCAGUCGCAUUGGCUAGAAAUCAGGCUUGCUUUUGCAAGGUGCACUUUCUGGUUGAUGGGUCAGCAUCAAUUUUGAUCGUUGGAUAAAGUCAUUGGGAAUGUGGCAUCUUUGGAUGUGUUAUAGCCCGGUGUUGAAUACAGCGGUUGGGAUUGAGGAACUCAGCAUGCCUUUAGGGGCCAGGUUUCGACCAUGUUCAUGCUUAGGAUGCUGGCAUAAUGGCUUUAAUCGACCCGUCUUGAAACACGGACCAAGGAGUCUAACAUGCCUGCGAGUG